CGGAGGGCGGCCCGGCGCCGCGUGAGCCCGCCGGGACUCGUGUCUGGGCUGCCGGAGGAGCCCGGGGGUCGAGCGCGCUGCGGCAUCCUGCCCCACAGCCAUGUAAAUUUUCCUCUAUACGAAUGUUCAUUGUUGCCUUCUACAUUCCUCUGCUGACAGUGAAGAGGACAUGCUAAAUCAAACUGACGGAAAAACUGGACAUAAGCUUAGCCAGGACGCCCAAAUUCAUGCUACUGAAACAAAAGCCUGAACAGCAUUGCACUCGCUUUCUGAUGAUGUUGGUAGACUAGGCACAUUUCUGGAAAAAGUCUAUGACCAGAUUUGCUGAUGACAAUAUCUAUGUGACAAUGGCAUCAGAAACAUUCUGGAAAACAAGGAGAUCUUACAGAAAGAACCAGAAAAUAAGAGGUUUUUCUUCUGAAAGGUAAUCUUUAUUCCCUGGGUACAAAAUAAGCGUUUGGAUGAAUGUUGAAGCAUAAAGCCGGUCAAGAUUUUGAUCUAUCUAUUGUUGGGCUUUGUAGAAAAUUUGGAAAGGUCUGAAAUGUUG
Lagopus muta (rock ptarmigan) is the source of this 547-nucleotide long non-coding RNA. RefSeq lists it as uncharacterized. NCBI's taxonomy places the organism in Eukaryota, Metazoa, Chordata, Aves, Galliformes, Phasianidae. The record is from RefSeq and is a predicted model, not a curated record. The transcript is spliced from 3 exons.